RNAcentral lists this ribosomal RNA (301 nucleotides) under uncultured bacterium. RNAcentral describes it as "partial 16S ribosomal RNA". It matches the Rfam family "Bacterial small subunit ribosomal RNA", at positions 509 to 807 of the family's 1533-position model. The record is from RNAcentral.
CAGUCGCCACGGUAAUACAGAGGGUGCGAGCGUUAAUCGGAUUUACUGGGCGUAAAGCGUGCGUAGGCGGCUUUUUAAGUCGGAUGUGAAAUCCCUGAGCUUAACUUAGGAAUUGCAUUCGAUACUGGGAAGCUAGAGUAUGGGAGAGGAUGGUAGAAUUCCAGGUGUAGCGGUGAAAUGCGUAGAGAUCUGGAGGAAUACCGAUGGCGAAGGCAGCCAUCUGGGCUAAUACUGACGCUGAGGUACGAAAGCAUGGGGAGCAAACAGGAUUAGAUACCCCAGUAGUCCCUGUCUCUUAUAC